Molecule: ribosomal RNA, 900 nt
Filed under: uncultured bacterium
Lineage: Bacteria
Description: bacterial SSU rRNA
Rfam family: Bacterial small subunit ribosomal RNA
Source: RNAcentral
GUAAAGGGUCCGUAGGCGGUAAAGUUAGUCUUUGGUUAAAUACCCAGGGCUUAACCUUGGGAAUGCUGGAGAUACUGCUUUACUAGAGGACGUUAGGGGCUGAUGGAACGGUCGGUGUAGAGGUGAAAUUCGUUGAUAUCGACCGGAACACCAAAAGCGAAAGCAUUCAGCUGGGACGGUCCUGACGCUGAAGACGAAAGCGUAGUAGCGAACGGGAUUAGAUACCCCGGUAGUCUACGCUGUAAACGAUGGACACUGGCUAUCUGAAGUGUCGACCUUUCAGGUGGCGAAGCUAACGCGUUAAGUGUCCCGCCUGGGAAGUACGGCGGCAACGCUAAAACUCAAAGGAAUAGACGGGGCUUCACACAAGCGGUGGACCAUGUGGCUCAAUUCGUCAACAAGCGAAGAACCUUACCAGGGUUUGACAGGCUAGUGAAGUCCUGAGGAAACUCGGGACUACCCACAAGGACACUAGCCCAGGUGCUGCACGGUCGUCGUCAGCAUGUGUUUUGAAAUGCACGCUUAAAUGCGGUAACAUGCGCAACCCCUACUCUGUGUUUUAUAUGUCACAGGGAACUGCCCGGGAUGACCGGGAGGAAGGUGGGGAUGACGCCAGAUCAGCGUGGCCCUUUGAUACCCUGGGCUGCACACGUGGUACAAUGGCAGGUACAAUGGGUAGCUAAGGCGUAAGCCGGAGCUAAUCCCAUCAAAACCUGUCUUAGUUCGGAUUGAGGUCUGAAAUUCGACCUCAUGAAGCCGGAAUCGCUAGUAAUCGCAAAUCAGCCACGUUGCGAUGAAUACGUACCUGAAGCUUGUACUCACCGCCCGUCACAUUAGGGAAGCCGGCAGUAGCCGAAAUCCCAGUAAUCUGGGCCUAAGCUAAAGUCGGUAACCAAAAUG